This 695-nucleotide ribosomal RNA is filed under the name uncultured bacterium. RNAcentral describes it as "bacterial SSU rRNA". It matches the Rfam family "Bacterial small subunit ribosomal RNA", at positions 32 to 715 of the family's 1533-position model. The record is from RNAcentral.
AACGCUAGCUACAGGCUUAACACAUGCAAGUCGAGGGGCAGCAUUUUAGUUUGCUUGCAAACUGAAGAUGGCGACCGGCGCACGGGUGAGUAACACGUAUCCAACCUGCCGAUAACUCUGGAAUAGCCUUUCGAAAGAAAGAUUAAUACCGGAUGGCAUACGAAUAUCGCAUGAUAUUUUUAUUAAAGAAUUUCGGUUAUCGAUGGGGAUGCGUUCCAUUAGUUUGUUGGCGGGGUAACGGCCCACCAAGACAACGAUGGAUAGGGGUUCUGAGAGGAAGGUCCCCCACAUUGGAACUGAGACACGGUCCAAACUCCUACGGGAGGCAGCAGUGAGGAAUAUUGGUCAAUGGGCGAGAGCCUGAACCAGCCAAGUAGCGUGAAGGAUGAAGGCUCUAUGGGUCGUAAACUUCUUUUAUAUGGGAAUAAAGUUUUCCACGUGUGGAAUUUUGUAUGUACCAUAUGAAUAAGGAUCGGCUAACUCCGUGCCAGCAGCCGCGGUAAUACGGAGGAUCCGAGCGUUAUCCGGAUUUAUUGGGUUUAAAGGGAGCGUAGGUGGAUUGUUAAGUCAGUUGUGAAAGUUUGCGGCUCAACCGUAGAAUUGCAGUUGAAACUGGCAGUCUUGAGUACAGUAGAGGUGGGCGGAAUUCGUGGUGUAGCGGUGAAAUGCUUAGAUAUCACGAAGAACUCCGAUUG